RNAcentral lists this non-coding RNA (24 nucleotides) under Arabidopsis thaliana (thale cress). The record is from RNAcentral. Lineage: Eukaryota; Viridiplantae; Streptophyta; Magnoliopsida; Brassicales; Brassicaceae.
AGUGAUGAUGUGUCAAUCUUAUGA